UCUCAUCUUCCUCCCGCACAUUUAUCAGAGGAAGAAGAUCAGACGGAGUUGCCAGUUUUCUAGGGUUUUGUUCAAUCUUAUUAUUAUAAAUCAACCAAAAAUGGCGGCUCCACCUGCUAGAGGUCGAGCGGAUUACGAUUACCUUGUCAAGCUUCUCUUGAUUGGCGAUAGCGGUAUGCAUUCCUUUGUUUCGGAUCCUGAUGUACGUUUAUUUGAUUUAUGUUGAUUUUGUAUGA
Molecule: long non-coding RNA, 236 nt
Filed under: Helianthus annuus (common sunflower)
Lineage: Eukaryota; Viridiplantae; Streptophyta; Magnoliopsida; Asterales; Asteraceae
Description: hypothetical non coding rna
Source: RNAcentral